GGUUGUCGAAACCGUCAAAAAUAAACCUAUUAUCAACCAACAAAAUAAAUUUGUAGAUAGUGGCAAUAGGGUCGAACCACAGGGAAUUGGCACUAAAGAUCUUCCUAAUAAUAACCAAGAUAAGUAAAUAACAAAUAAUUAAAAGAGGGGGGUUUGAGUUGAUGAAUUAAAACUAAAUAGCAAAAGAAAGAAAUAAUUUAAAGAUGAGUAAAUCAAUAAGAGAAAAGCUUCUAGUUGAAGUAUGGUUCUAUUUCAGAUUGUUUAGAAUUGAUCAUUGAUUCUUUAAUACUCCUAUUUAUCUCAAUAAAUUAGUUUUGGAUGUGGAAGACGCUUCUCACAAUCCAAAUUCCUCCUUAGUUCUAGUUUGAUUAGGAAACGUUCGCUAAUCAAACACUAGUUAACAAGUUGCCAAGGAACGUCCUUGGGGCAUUAUAGCAUCGAACAACUGUUAACUGCAUUAAGACUUAGAGAAACCUAAUUCUAACCUUGCCAACCGCGUGGUCAAGUCUAGAUCAUGCAAUUUGAUUAAAUGUGUAUUUGAACAACCUAAGCAAUUACGGACCUAAAUCAUUCAAAUAAUAUUACUUAAGCAAUUUAAAAACAAUGGGCCCUUAUUGAUUCUAAAAGCAAAGUAAUAAUUAUGGAAAGCUCAAAUUGCAUAAAUAUUGAAAAGAAAUAGAAGUUUAACAAUGGAGAUUUAAAUCUCCCAAUUCAUCACACAAAUCUGAAAUUCACCAACUUCAACUAGAAAAGAAGGAAAUUAGCCACUCAUGGUGGACUAAGUACACAAAAGAUGAAAAGAAAGGAAAAAGGAAGAUGCUGGAGAGUUUCUGGCGAGUUGAGUUGCUGAUCAGAACCUCCUUUUGCUGGUUUGGAAGCUCUCCUUUUAUAGCUGCAGAAUUUCUCUCCAUCUAGGGUUUUGAAAUCCCUCUUUGAUUUGGUGUUUGACUCCUCUUUUGAUGUUGAUUUUAAUUGCAAUUGGAAUUCCUUGGAUGAGAGACUCUUUCGUGGCUCUUGGUUUUGUGUUGGAAGUGAUUGGAUUGGAUUUGGACUUCUGAAAAUUCGGAUUUCUGUUUUCUGCCCAUUUUCCCGCUCUGCUGUAAGUUUCUGCUGUCAAAGUGAUUUGCCCGGUGAUUUGAGUAUUUUGGGCAAAUCACUGCCCCAAUCACUUCUCUGUGAGUCAGUCCUCUAUGUCUCUGCGAGUGAUUUGGCCAGUGAUCUUCGAGUUUCUUGGGCAAAUCACUUGCCAUAUCACUACUGCCUGUUGCCUCCGGGUUUCUGCUUCAGCUUGAUCUGGGCAGUGAUUGGAGCAGAUUAUCUGGUGAUCUUGGGCAAAUCACUGGGCAAAUCAUCCUUUUGUAAAUUUUCUGCACUUUUUCUCCAAUUUUCCAAUUUCUUCCUUUUAUGUAAAAACAAGAUAAAAACCAUAAAUUAAACUGAAAAAUGUGUAAAUAAGCAAUAAUAAUUAUGAUAAAAAUGUGGCUAAAUUAUGCUUGAUCAAC
This 1502-nucleotide long non-coding RNA is filed under the name Manihot esculenta (cassava). RNAcentral describes it as "long non-coding RNA (MESC_LNC009797)". The record is from RNAcentral. Lineage: Eukaryota; Viridiplantae; Streptophyta; Magnoliopsida; Malpighiales; Euphorbiaceae.